This 150-nucleotide ribosomal RNA is filed under the name uncultured archaeon. RNAcentral describes it as "partial 16S ribosomal RNA". It matches the Rfam family "Archaeal small subunit ribosomal RNA", at positions 287 to 438 of the family's 1478-position model. The record is from RNAcentral.
AGCCCGGAGAUGGGUACUGAAACAAGGACCCAGGCCCUAUGGGGCGCAGCAGGCAAGAAAACUUUGCAAUGCGCGAAAGCUCGACAAGGUUAAUCUGAGUGGUUCCUGCUAAAGGAACCUUUUGUUAUUCCUAAAACCCCUGAUGAAUAA